AAUUGUGAUCAACGGUUUAAAUUUUUGUUACAGCAAAUAUACAAAUGUUAAUAAAAUCAUAUGAGUUUGAAGUGUCAAUAAUAAAUGUUUAUAUUAAAAUAUUAUAUAUAUAUAUAUAUGUCAAUAUCACUAAAGUUUAAUUAUAUACGAUAUAAAAUAAAUAAAAAUGAUUGUUUUGAUUUAUUUACCAAAAACAUAGGUUGUAAAUAAAUGAAAGGAUUUGAUUUUGAUUCAUGUACUUAUUUUAAUGUAUAUAAAUUUAUGUAUACAAAUUAUUUUUUAAAUAUGUGGUUUCUAAUAUUUUAUUUGAUCCUGACAAUCUCAGAAAUACAUUUUUUUCAAAACGAAAUGAUUUUUAAUAUUAGAAGCACUAAUAUAUAUAUUAUUUCAUUCAGAUUAAAUAAUUUAGUCUUGGUUUUUAUUCAUAAAAAGCUUUUAAUGAAAUAUCAUAACAUUAUUCCAAUUACUUCUUUUUGAGUUUGUUCGAAGAAUGAUAGAUUUGAUCAUUCGUCUAAUAUUUGUUUCUCUCUAAUACCCUAUCUAGCUAUUUUAACUAAAUAAUUGCUAUUACAAUAUAAAUAGAUAUAUAUAUAUAUAUAUAUAUGUAUAUUUAUUUAUUUAUUUUCAUUAAAAGAAACAUUUUAAAUAUUUAAUUAAUUUCUUAUUUAUUUAUAACAUAUAUGUACAUUUCAUUUUUUACUCAAAAAACUUUUAAAUAUUAAGUUAAUUUCGUGUUUAUUUUAAAAAUAAAUGUGUGCUUCAAUUUAACUAAAACAAACCUUUAAAAUAUCUAAUUAAUUUUGUAAUUAUAAUUAAACUCAUGUACAAUUUUGUAUUAAUAUUGCGAUAUUAAUUUAAUAUAAUUAAUACUUUUCAAUUAAAGUUUUGAUCUUUAACUAAUAAGACUUUCAGUUUAGAAUUUUGUAUCACAUGAUUGAAUAUAUGCUAUCAUUGACAAUUCAAAACAAAUAAAUUAAAUUAUUGCAUGUGAACUGUAAAAUUAUUGUCUUUUAAAAUAUUAUAUUAAACAAUUAAUAAUAUGGUAUACAUUAAUAUAUAUACAAUUAAUCAUGUUAAAAAAUAUUUAUGUGUAUAAAAAUGAAAAUAACCACCUGCACAAGAUCUAGUAAUAAAUUUUAAAAAAGAAACAAAGCUCAUAUCACUGAAACAGAAACAAGAAAAAAAAACACUAUUUUAAAGAAGUAAAAAAUGAAAUCACUUAUGGAGAGUCAAUAGUAAACAAACCGAGAGCAAAAAACCUAAUCUCUUUUCGUCAUUUUACAGUUGAUGUUGUCUAUCUGGUUUUACUGGUUUGUCUGAGCCCAAAACUUAAUUUUCUUUUGUGUAUUUGUAGUACGUUAACUUUUCGAAAAUGAUGAUACAUUUAAGAAAUAAACAUUUGUAUUCGUCAUUUUACAAUCAAUAGAUAUUGUAGUAUUGCAAAAGGUUGAAAAUCAUUUAACCAACAAAUAUUCAUAUAAAAACUCACCCCGAAUUGGUUAUAAUCUAGUUAAUAAUUAUUAUAAGAACAUAUUAUUGUAAGCUGUUAACAUAAUUUUCGUUUUCGGUGCGAGGUUAGGUGUGUCAGGGUGUUUGGUUGCGGCUGGGAGCUUCGGUUUCAGCUCAGUUGCGUUUUGCCUCCAUCAUUUUCCAGUGGUUCCACUGAAUUGGCCUCCUGGUGUUCGCUCUCCUCAAAUAAUCGCAUGAAGAUUGUGGCUGUGGUUUGGCGAUGGUUACGUUAAAGGCUGUCUCCUAGUUAUGCCUCAAUUUCAGUGUCAGAGACUGGAGCAUGCUCGCCUGUCAUCAGUCAUCACCAUUUUUUUCGGAUUCAGAUUCUAAAGCAUGUUCCAGUCUCCCGAUCUAUCAACAUUAUAAACAACACUAUUACCCUUAAGAGAUCAAGUGGAAUGAAUGGAAACGGAUUGUCAAUGCCCCAAAUUAAAUUUUGGAGAAUUCUGCCACCUAUGAAUCGUUGCCAUAGAAAAUAAAAUGCUUGUUGAUUGAUAUUGGUCAAAAUAUUCAUAUUCCGUCAAUAUAUAACGCGUCAUAAAAAGAUUGCCAAUGCAAAAACAAUGAGGAAUCUCAUACUAGUUUUGAUUAAACACUGACAUGAUUAUUGUAGAUUUAAAGUAAAUAUGGGUUAAGAGAAACCAAAUAAAAUGAUUGU
This is a long non-coding RNA of Brassica rapa (field mustard), 2167 nucleotides long. RefSeq lists it as uncharacterized. NCBI's taxonomy places the organism in Eukaryota, Viridiplantae, Streptophyta, Magnoliopsida, Brassicales, Brassicaceae. The record is from RefSeq and is a predicted model, not a curated record.